This 545-nucleotide ribosomal RNA is filed under the name uncultured eukaryote. Its description in RNAcentral is "SSU rRNA". It matches the Rfam family "Eukaryotic small subunit ribosomal RNA", at positions 21 to 565 of the family's 1831-position model. The record is from RNAcentral.
CGAUUUAGUCAUAUGCUUGUCUCAAAGAUUAAGCCAUGCAUGUCUAAGUAUAAGCAAUUAUACAGCGAAACUGCGAAUGGCUCAUUAAAUCAGUUAUCGUUUAUUUGAUAUUACCUUACUACAUGGAUAACCGUGGUAAUUCUAGAGCUAAUACAUGCAAAAAAUCCCGACUUCGGAAGGGAUGUAUUUAUUAGAUUAAAAACCAAUGCCCUUCGGGGCUCACUGGUGAUUCAUAAUAACUUCUCGAAUCGCACGGCCUUGCGCCGGCGAUGGUUCAUUCAAAUUUCUGCCCUAUCAACUUUCGACGGCUGGGUCUUGGCCAGCCAUGGUGACAACGGGUAACGGGGAGUUAGGGCUCGACUCCGGAGAAGGAGCCUGAGAAACGGCUACUACAUCCAAGGAAGGCAGCAGGCGCGCAAAUUACCCAAUCCCGACACGGGGAGGUAGUGACAAUAAAUACUGAUACAGGGCUCUUUUGGGUCUUGUAAUUGGAAUGAGUACAAUUUAAAUCCCUUAACGAGGAACAAUUGGAGGGCAAGUCUGGA